RNAcentral lists this ribosomal RNA (46 nucleotides) under Pterolebias longipinnis. RNAcentral's name for it is "partial 16S ribosomal RNA". The record is from RNAcentral. Lineage: Eukaryota; Metazoa; Chordata; Actinopteri; Cyprinodontiformes; Rivulidae.
UCAAUACAUACCCCUACUUACAUACAUAAAUUGCUCAAAAUGCUAG